Small nucleolar RNA from Tachyglossus aculeatus (Australian echidna), 138 nucleotides. Lineage: Eukaryota; Metazoa; Chordata; Mammalia; Monotremata; Tachyglossidae. The record is from RefSeq and is a predicted model, not a curated record.
CCCCUCUCAGCGUUGCACCUGGAGAGUUUCCAGUACUCUCCCAGUUUCAACCACAGGAGGGAGAGUCAAGCAGAGGCCUAUCCAUUCCAUUGCUAACUUGGUUGGUGGCUAGCAAGAGGAAGGCAACCUGCUACAAGU